Molecule: long non-coding RNA, 487 nt
Organism: Syngnathus acus (greater pipefish)
Lineage: Eukaryota; Metazoa; Chordata; Actinopteri; Syngnathiformes; Syngnathidae
Exons: 5
Source: RefSeq, a predicted model, not a curated record
AGAUAUGUCUUAAGUGGGUGAUGAAACCAUGCAGUCUGCACACAAGGUCCUCGUUUUACGACGUUGGAAACGUAACCCGAAUUUGAAGAAGCCGAGGAUGUUUAAACAACUGCAGGUGCCGAUGAAGGAUCGCAGUGGCUGGAAACUCCCUGGUGAUGGCUGCUGGCCUCCCUCCCAGAUUUUCCCUUGCUCUUUCAAGGAUAACUGGAGACAAAGAUGACACUGGAAAGACCAGGUGGUGUCGCCAUGCUGUUUGGACCCAUGUAUCAAGUGUAAUGAGAGCCCUAUGCCACCGCUGACUGCAGGCAGACACUGUGCUGACUUUAAACGCCCUACGGCGACCUCUUUAUUGCUGCAGCUGGAGCCGUCAGACUCCCAUGGCAUCCCGACCAACAAACACGACAUUGUUUUCCAAUUGGUGCUCAAGGAUGAGAUGAGGCGGGAGGCUUUUGUCUUGAAAGAGUUUGCCGCAUUGCUUCACCGUUUC